AAGUCGAGCGGUAACAUUUCUAGCUUGCUAGAAGAUGACGAGCGGCGGACGGGUGAGUAAUGCUUGGGAACAUGCCUUGAGGUGGGGGACAACAGUUGGAAACGACUGCUAAUACCGCAUAAUGUCUACGGACCAAAGGGGGCUUCGGCUCUCGCCUUUAGAUUGGCCCAAGUGGGAUUAGCUAGUUGGUGAGGUAAUGACUCACCAAGGCGACGAUCCCUAGCUGGUUUGAGAGGAUGAUCAGCCACACUGGGACUGAGACACGGCCCAGACUCCUACGGGAGGCAGCAGUGGGGAAUAUUGCACAAUGGGCGCAAGCCUGAUGCAGCCAUGCCGCGUGUGUGAAGAAGGCCUUCGGGUUGUAAAGCACUUUCAGUCAGGAGGAAAGGUUAGUAGUUAAUACCUGCUAGCUGUGACGUUACUGACAGAAGAAGCACCGGCUAACUCCGUGCCAGCAGCCGCGGUAAUACGGAGGGUGCGAGCGUUAAUCGGAAUUACUGGGCGUAAAGCGUACGCAGGCGGUUUGUUAAAGCGAGAUGUGAAAGCCCC
This 549-nucleotide ribosomal RNA is filed under the name uncultured bacterium. RNAcentral describes it as "bacterial SSU rRNA". It matches the Rfam family "Bacterial small subunit ribosomal RNA", at positions 59 to 604 of the family's 1533-position model. The record is from RNAcentral.